This is a long non-coding RNA of Mauremys mutica (yellowpond turtle), 3852 nucleotides long. RefSeq lists it as uncharacterized. The transcript has 5 exons. The record is from RefSeq and is a predicted model, not a curated record. Lineage: Eukaryota; Metazoa; Chordata; Testudines; Geoemydidae.
GAAGCAGGGCGGCAGGAGGGGCAUUUUAUCCUGUAAAGAUGAUUUGUAGGAUUCUUGCUCUGUUGUUUCCUUUCACACUUGCAAACCACGUGUGUCCGAAAUAAUGGCAGAUUGGGGGGUUUCUCUGCCGUCCCUGGGGAGAGUCCAGAUUGUUUUAGCAGCUAGCUGAGCAUAUUGCGCUUAACCUGAGAGGAGAUGGAAUCAGCCACGUGUGCGAUAAUUGGAUAUUUGUGCUGCUUUGGCAUCAUCAUAAGGGCCAUCAUGGCUGUUACCACCGCCAUCAUAUGCUGAGACCUGGUGACUUACAAUUUUAUCACCAGUUAUAUUUAUCUCACACUUACCUUGCAUUGCAAAGUCCUCUAGGCAGGGGUUCUCAACCUUUUUCUUGCUGAGGCCCCCCUCAACGUGCUAUAAAAACUCCAGGGCCCAGCAGGGGGUGGGGGAACUUGGGGCUCUGGGCCAGGGGAGACCCUUGGGCACAGACAUAGUUUUACUUCUAUUUACAGGGACCUCACAGGGUCCAGGGAUGGAGCACCACCUCCACUUCCUGACUCACUCAGGAGGCAACCCAGCCUGUCUGGGCUGUGGGGGAUGCAACCAAAAAAUAUAACUGAAAGGAGGAACUCAGUUCAAAAAGUUUGAAAACUGCUCAGGGUACAGGGAGGAGGUAGCUAGGGGCUGUGUGUGGGCAGGGGAGUAGUUCCAGAUGCAGGCAGGGGGUAGCUAGAUACUGUGUGUGGAGGGGGACUCCCAGGAUUGCUCCCAGCUUUGGGGGGGCAAUGGGGCUCCCAGCUUCAGCCCCACACCUCUUCUGGCUUUGGGGGCUUAAGGGGGUGCUGGCAUCAGUUCUGCACCACUCCUGGCUGUGGUAGGGGGUGCGACCUUUAGCCCUGUGCUGCUCCCAGCUUUGGGGCAGGGGGCCACCAGCUUUAGUGUUGAGACUAGGGGCCAGCCAUGGGGCUCUGCUGACCCCCUGAAAGGGCUCGCGGACCCUGGUUGAGAACCACUGCUCUAGGGACAUGGCUGUUGAUUUUUCAUGGAAGGCACUGAGAUACAGUGAUGGUCACCACUAUAAACUCUAAGAGAGAACCCAUUGGUGAGAAGAGCUGAGUUCUGAAGAGAUGAAUUCUUAUGGAUUCUGACUGAGCACAUUUCCCACAGAAGUGCUUAUCAGAGUAGAGAACUGAGUUUUGCGGGCUGGUAUCACCGGUAAAGUUACUAAGGAGAAUGGGAGACAGUCCAGCAAGGGAUCCAUUCUCCCAGAGAGCCAGGAGCUGUUUGUAACCCCCGGAGCAGUUCAGCCAGUCACAGAACAGCAUCAUGGCCAAGUGUGAUGCUGGAGAAGGCACCUCUGCUGAAAGAGGGAAGCAGAAAUCUGAGUGACGUGGGGAGCGAGGGCACCAUGUAUCAAGUAUUCCCAGGGACUGCCCAUUUCACAGCUCCUUGCAAAUCUGCCUAGUGACAGCACUAGGGGGCAGCCUGAGCCUGGAAGAUGAGGUUAUUCAAUCUGCCUGCAGAAGGGGUAUCCCAUGGAUUUGUUGGGUAUCUGAGUUUGGGGCUACUCCCAAGCAUUCCUCAGCCCACACCCAGGCCAGAGUUAGAAUGAGCUGGAAAGGGAAAAGACCACUGUGAGAAAACAUUUCCUUGGGUAGAAUUCACAGCUGAGCCUAGCACCAGCCUGUCAUUGCAAUGAGACCAACUGAACUGACCUACUGUUUGAAGAGAGACUGUAAUGGAUAUAAGGUCUAUGAACCACGUGGAAUUUUAAGGAAGGACUGAUAUCCGUUCACUUGAGUCAUGCGAAAGACAACCUGAUUCCUGAUUAAAUCUUUUUUGUAGCACAUUUCACUGUUUAAAAACGAAUAUGCUCCAGGACUACAAAGACAGAGCAAUGUAGCAACUCACUCAUCUAUAAUUAUAAGAGUAUCUCUCCCCACCUUUAUUUUAAUGUUUUUGUUUUGUCAGUGUUUGGUUGGGGAAAUUGCUUUAACAAAAUAAUUUAUAAAGCUGUGAGCUGAGAAUAUUUUUGACUGCAGUCUUAUUACUAUUUCCAUCCUUAAAGAAAAAUUAUAUUUUCCUUUCUCAUUUAAAAACUUUUUUACUUUGUAUGUUACCUCACACAGAUUAUUGAGAAGUUAAGCACUGGGCUGUGAGAAAAGAAAGAACACCCUAUGUGAAAAGUUUUUAAUGCACUACAUACCUAAAAGCUAACACUUGAUAUGUUGGUGGCCUAUAUAGGCAUAAUGAGUUAAAUAACAUUUUUCCUUUGUACCUGGGGUGGGCUGACUUCUCAAUGAGAAGUGUGCUGUGAGAAUGUACUUGUUUUGCUUUGCUUCUGUGAAAUUGUUUUGAUCUUUGUUUUUAUACGUUCUUUGUAAUUUUAUUUGAGUGCAAUGUUUUCCUAACUUGCUCUUGUGAAAGGGAUUAGUACCAGCUGCAAAGAAACAGACUUUUUUCUGCUGUGAGAACUCUAGCAAAGUGAAAGCUAAACCAAUAAAGAUAAUAAAGUGUUGUGGUUGUGGGUUUUGGAAAAGAUAAGCAUACAAAGGUGCCUAUUACAGCUGUAUGACAUCCUAUUCCCCUCUCAGAAGUUAAAAGUUUUUAAGAGAAAGUAACACAUGUGAAAGCCAUUCAAAGCUACAGAAGUGUUAGGAAAAUGAAAUUCUGGCAAACAGGGAGACCUCCUCUCUCCAAAAAUGUCAGAGAGCUAUGAAUUAUAAAUAACAGGUAAGAGACUGUCAGCUCUUUCAGUUGCCACAAAACAAAGAGAGAUUAAGAAUGUAUUUAAAUGCACAUUUAUGUGAUAUAUUGAACCAACUUGGCGGUGCUCGAUGGCUCAAGUCCAGAGAUGUUUGCAAGAGGGACUUGAAAACAGCAAACAUCAACACUGCAAGCUGGGAAGAUGCAACUAGCAACACGCCAUACUGGAGUGAUACAGUGCACCAGGGACUUAAAGAGGCUGAAGAGAGGUGGUUGAGAGAGGAAAGUGCAGAAGGCCUCAAGAGCUAGUAGUGCACCAACUUUAUCUUCUUGCCCUGUGCCUUAUGCCCACAUUAUCUGUGGCAAGAAGUCACUCAAGAAUUGGUCUUUUUAGCCACUCACAAUGCUGUAGCAUGACACAUAGUAACUGAACUGCUUUGGCACUUACAUCAUCAACUUUCAAGAUGGACAGUUACCAUUAACCAACUCACAUGGAAGCAAGAUGGAUUCCACAGUUGCAAGGGUAAGCCAGUUAGACACAAAGAACUGAUUACAGCAAUUGAUUAUUUCCUGGAAAGAAAGUGGAAGAGCAUUCGUGCAGGUGGUCUGAUAAUUAUGAAGCUGAUGUUCUAGCCAAAGAGGCAGCUUUCAACAAGAUACCAUGGGAAUUUAUAAACAUGAACCAAUUUUAAAUAAAGUACAUAGUAUAAAUAUAGGAAAAAGCCCAGGCCAAGCAUACAGAACACAAGGUCAUGUAAGUUGAUUACUCCGAUACCACAUCUUCAGGCAUAACAGACGAAGGGACAGGGAUGAAUCAGAUUUUGUGAAAACAGUUACAAGACAGUCAUUUCUAGGUUUUACAAAUACAUAAAAGGCUAAUAAGUUUUAUUACUGAUCAAGAUCUGAGGAAUAAUAAAGAACUAUAAACCAAAGAUGAACCAAAACAAAUGACUCAGCCUUUUAAAAAGACUUUUACACACACAAAAUACCAUGAUAACUAGUUCCCAAGAACUAUUAAAGGCUUUUGUUAAUGCAUAUCCAUGAUGAUUUCUAUAGAAGUAGUCAUUUAGCAAUCCAUGACAGCUACCAAGCCCUGAAGUAAGCAGCAAACUGGCAAGACAUGCAUGAGCUACUUUGAAAGAGGUUGUUAAG